AACGAACGCUGGCGGCAUGCCUAACACAUGCAAGUCGAACGAGAUCUUCGGGUCUAGUGGCGCACGGGUGCGUAACGCGUGGGAAUCUGCCCUUUGGUUCGGAAUAACAGUUGGAAACGACUGCUAAUACCGGAUGAUGACGAAAGUCCAAAGAUUUAUCGCCAGAGGAUGAGCCCGCGUAGGAUUAGCUAGUUGGUGUGGUAAAGGCGCACCAAUGCGACGAUCCUUAGCUGGUCUGAGAGGAUGAUCAGCCACACUGGGACUGAGACACGGCCCAGACUGCUACGGGAGGCAGCAGUGGGGAAUAUUGGACAAUGGGCGAAAGCCUGAUCCAGCAAUGCCGCGUGAGUGAUGAAGGCCUUAGGGUUGUAAAGCUCUUUUACCCGGGAUGAUAAUGACAGUACCGGGAGAAUAAGCUCCGGCUAACUCCGUGCCAGCAGCCGCGGUAA
RNAcentral lists this ribosomal RNA (449 nucleotides) under uncultured bacterium. RNAcentral describes it as "partial 16S ribosomal RNA". It matches the Rfam family "Bacterial small subunit ribosomal RNA", at positions 29 to 523 of the family's 1533-position model. The record is from RNAcentral.